UACGUAGGGGGCAAGCGUCGUCCGGAUUUAUUGGGCGUAAAGGGUUCGCAGGUGGCCUUUUAAGUCAGAUGUGAAAGAUCAUGGCUUAACCAUGGUAAGCAUUUGAAACUGAAAGGCUUGAGUUAAGGAGAGGAAAGUGGAAUUCCUAGUGUAGCGGUGAAAUGCGUAGAUAUUAGGAGGAAUACCAGUGGCGAAGGCGACUUUCUGGACUUAUACUGACACUGAGGAACGAAAGCAUGGGGAGCAAACAGG
RNAcentral lists this ribosomal RNA (252 nucleotides) under uncultured bacterium. RNAcentral's name for it is "partial 16S ribosomal RNA". It matches the Rfam family "Bacterial small subunit ribosomal RNA", at positions 524 to 776 of the family's 1533-position model. The record is from RNAcentral.